Small nucleolar RNA from Eutrema salsugineum, 107 nucleotides. It matches the Rfam family "Plant small nucleolar RNA R71". Rfam says of the family: R71 is a member of the C/D box family of snoRNAs containing the C (UGAUGA) and D (CUGA) box motifs. Multiple nearly identical copies of this snoRNA have been identified in Arabidopsis, and it is thought to function as a 2'-O-ribose methylation guide for 18S ribosomal RNA. Lineage: Eukaryota; Viridiplantae; Streptophyta; Magnoliopsida; Brassicales; Brassicaceae. The record is from Rfam.
UAUCCGUGAUGUGGACAAUCUCUUUGGUAUUCCCUAAAUCUCUCCCGAGUAUCUAAAAGAUCUUCAUCUUCUUUUUGUUUAAAGUUCGUAUCGUGUUCCUUAAGAGA